This 1435-nucleotide ribosomal RNA is filed under the name uncultured marine bacterium. Its description in RNAcentral is "bacterial SSU rRNA". It matches the Rfam family "Bacterial small subunit ribosomal RNA". The record is from RNAcentral.
GAGUUUGAUCAUGGCUCAGAUUGAACGCUGGCGGUAGGCUUAACACAUGCAAGUCGUGCGAGAAAGUAUCUUCGGAUAUGAGUAGAGCGGCGAACGGCUGAGUAACACGUUGGUACCUGCCUCAAACUCAGGGAUAACAUCUAGAAAUAGGUGCUAAUACCGGAUAGUCCCGAAAGGGUAAAGCUUUUGCGGUUUGAGAGGGGCCUGCGGCCUAUCAGCUUGUUGGUGAGGUAAGAGCUCACCAAGGCAAUGACGGGUAGCUGGUCUGAGAGGAUGACCAGCCAGAAUGGAACUGAGACACGGUCCAUACUCCUACGGGAGGCAGCAGUAAAGAAUCUUUCGCAAUGGGGGAAACCCUGACGAAGCAAUACCGCGUGGGUGAUGACGGUCGUAAGAUUGUAAAGCCCUUUUCUGAGGGAAGAAUUCUGACGGUACCUCAGGAAUAAGCACCGGCUAACUCCGUGCCAGCAGCCGCGGUAAUACGGAGGGUGCAAGCGUUACCCGGAAUUAUUGGGCGUAAAGCGUCCGCAGGCGGUUUGUUAAGUUAAAUAUUAAAUCUUGAAGCCCAACUUUGAGGCUGUGUUUAAAACUGACAAACUAGAGUCAUUCAGAGGUGCGUGGAAUUCUGUGUGUAGGGGUAAAAUCCGUAGAUACACAGAGGAACACCAAAAGCGAAGGCAGCGCACUGGGAAUGUACUGACGCUCAUGGACGAAAGCGUGGGGAGCGAACGGGAUUAGAUACCCCGGUAGUCACGCCGUAAACGAUGGAUACUCGGUGUCAGGGGACUCGACCCCUCUGGUGCCCAAGCUAACGCAUUAAGUAUCCCGCCUGGGGAGUACGGUCGCAAGAUUAAAACUCAAAGGAAUAGACGGGGACCCACACAAGCGGUGGAGCAUCUGGCUUAAUUCGAUAAUGAGCGAGGAACCUCACCUAGGCUUGACAUCCCGAGAAUUUUCUAGAAAUAGAAAAGUGCCUUCUGGAACUCGGUGACAGGUGCUGCAUGGUUGUCGUCAGCUCGUGCCUUGAGGUGUUCGGUUAAGUCCGUGAACGAGCGCAACCCAUGUCCUGUGUUGUUUUUUCACAGGAGACUGCCGAUUCAAAGUCGGAGGAAGGUAUGGACGACGUCAAAUCAGCAUGGCCCUUAUGCCUAGGGCUGCACAGGUGCUACAAUGGCUAAUACAAUAGGUAGCAAUAUCGCAAGAUGGAGCCAAUCCCAAAAGUUAGUCUAAGUUCGGAUUGAGGGCUGCAAUUCGCCCUCAUGAAGUUGGAAUCGCUAGUAACCGUGAAUCAGCAAUAUCACGGUGAAUAUGUUCCUGGGUCUUGUACUCACCGCCCGUCACACUACGGAAGGUGGAGGCACCCGAAGUACCCUUAGCUUUGAGCGGGGUCCUAAGGUGAAAUCACUGACUGGAGUGAAGUCGUAACAAGGUAACC